UUCAACCUUUUUCCGACAGUUGGCCUCUGUGCAUUCUCGGCGAGCGACGGCAGUGCAAGGAGCACUCUGCAUUGUCAAUGGUGAAGUUACAAACACUAUAAAGAGUGAAGGGUGGUGCGAGGAUCAGAGUGCAUAGGCCAGAGAUUAAAGUCAAUAUUUUCGUUCCUAAUGUGGAGGAAAAGAACUUAGGUAUUUUGAAAAUUUUGUCAUUUUAAAGUGAAUUUCUCCCAACACCACCACCACCUAUUGAUGAGAACAUUCCACUUUCAAAGAUGCCUUUGUUAAGGUCUAGUCUUUAUCUCCCAAAGAAGCGUUUUGAGGUUUUUUUUUCUUCAUUUUUUUAUAUCGUAUCAUUUGUAUAUAUGAUUCGGUUUUAAUAUUUUUUUGUACUUGUUUAUUUGUAUGUAGGAUCAUUUUAAUAAGUAGUUCCACAAUCAAAUCAAUGAGAUAGAUGUAAAGUUGAGUGAAGUCCAAGCUUCCCAGAAACUUAUUCUUGGUGACGUUAUUUCUUUGAAGAAAAGUUUUCAAGCUGAUUUUGCUAGAAUGAUUGAUUUGCUUGUAGACAUUAAGACUGUUGUAUUUGUCAAAACUUAUGGUGGAGGUUUAGCGUCCGAAAAUAAAAUGGACUUUGACAGUGUUUCUUAGGUAACCAGUUUUUUGUGGCAUUGUCUUUUCUGUAAAUAUAUGCUCUCUAUCUUUUUUUUUUUUAUAAUUAGGAUUAUUUUGAUGAUGGUUGUGUGGAAGGGUACCAAGAUGUUGAUCUUGGUGAAGAGUUAGGGGCUGGCUUUGAGCAUUAUGUUAAGAUUGCUUCAAAUUUUAUUACUCCUGUUAAUGUAUGUUUUUUUAAUCAUUUAUUGUAUGAGUAAGUUCUUUAUUUUUUC
Molecule: long non-coding RNA, 881 nt
Organism: Humulus lupulus (European hop)
Lineage: Eukaryota; Viridiplantae; Streptophyta; Magnoliopsida; Rosales; Cannabaceae
Exons: 3
Source: RefSeq, a predicted model, not a curated record